GAUGAACGCUGGCGGCGUGCUUAACACAUGCAAGUCGAACGGAAAGGCUCCUGCUUGCCGGGGUACUCGAGUGGCGAACGGGUGAGUAACACGUGUGUGAUCUGCCCUGCACUUCGGGAUAAGCCUGGGAAACUGGGUCUAAUACCGGAUAGGACGAUGGUUUGGAUGCCAUUGUGGAAAGUUUUUCGGUGUGGGAUGAGCUCGCGGCCUAUCAGCUUGUUGGUGGGGUAAUGGCCUACCAAGGCGUCGACGGGUAGCCGGCCUGAGAGGGUGUACGGCCACAUUGGGACUGAGAUACGGCCCAGACUCCUACGGGAGGCAGCAGUGGGGAAUAUUGCACAAUGGGCGCAAGCCUGAUGCAGCGACGCCGCGUGGGGGAUGACGGCCUUCGGGUUGUAAACACCUUUCGUCAGGGACGAAGCGAAAGUGACGGUACCUGGAGAAGAAGCACCGGCUAACUACGUG
Molecule: ribosomal RNA, 465 nt
Filed under: uncultured bacterium
Lineage: Bacteria
Description: partial 16S ribosomal RNA
Rfam family: Bacterial small subunit ribosomal RNA
Source: RNAcentral